RNAcentral lists this ribosomal RNA (498 nucleotides) under uncultured bacterium. RNAcentral's name for it is "partial 16S ribosomal RNA". It matches the Rfam family "Bacterial small subunit ribosomal RNA", at positions 28 to 507 of the family's 1533-position model. The record is from RNAcentral.
GACGAACGCUGGCGGCAUGCCUAAUACAUGCAAGUUGAACGAUGAUAUUCUCUGCUUGCAGAGAAUUGAAGAGUAGCGAACGGGUGAGUAACACGUGGGGAACCUGCCCAUGAGAGGGGGAUAACAUUCGGAAACGGAUGCUAAUACCGCAUAAUGCUUUGGACCGCCUGGUCCAGAGACGAAAGACGGCUUUUGCUGUCACUCAUGGAUGGCCCCGCGCCGUAUUAGCUAGUUGGUGAGGUAAUGGCUCUCCAAAGCUGUGAUACGUAGCCGACCUGAGAGGGUGAUCGGCCACACUGGGACUGAGACACGGCCCAGACUCCUACGGGAGGCAGCAGUAGGGAAUCUUCCACAAUGGGCGAAAGCCUGAUGGAGCAAUGCCGCGUGAAUGAAGAAGGUCUUCGGAUCGUAAAGUUCUGUUAUUAGAGAAGAACAAGUCAAGGAGUAACUGUCUUGACUUUGACGGUACCUAACCAGAAAGUCACGGCUAACUACGUG